Molecule: long non-coding RNA, 4016 nt
Organism: Physella acuta
Lineage: Eukaryota; Metazoa; Mollusca; Gastropoda; Physidae
Source: RefSeq, a predicted model, not a curated record
AUACGAAGUGUCGCACAGGGUGACACCCGACCUAGCGACGCCACUGGCCUAAAGGCUGACGAAAUGGCCCACUGAUAAUUUUUGCAUAGGGGCCCAAAAAUCCUAGCUACGCCACUGCACUGACAAUACCGUUUCUGUAGAGACUAAGUCUCCCGGCAAAGCGGUCUUAUUGAAUAUGACACCUGCCAGUGGGACCCCUUCAUCAAUAUUCUUUAGAGUUAGCUUAUCCAACACUCUUAUGUAAUACAACGUAUGCAUCUCUUGUUUGGCAGGCCUUAUUUUUAUAUUAGUUAAUCUAUUAUAAAAUAUAGUAUGUUUUAAUUUAAGGGUCAUCUAUCUAUGACUUCCAUAACUGAGUCGGUUAUUAUAGGCUGUUCCAACUUAGUGUGUGGGGAGAAGGGUCCACGCUGAACCUUCCUAACUGCAGUAUGCUUGUAGGUUAUCAAAACAAAAUGCUGUUAUCUUGUAAACAUCAUGUAUAUUGUAUAUCAUACAUUUACACUUCUGUGCUUGCUUUUAAGCAACAGCUUUUCUGUUGUAAAUUAAACAUUAUCAAAACUUUAGGAUUGGUGGAAUUUAGCUGUUAAGGACUCGAUUUGUUUGUGAAUUAAUGUUGGUUCAUAAAAAACAAUUUCAUUCGGGCAUUUAAAAGAGGUUAUAGUGGUAUUGGAGGUAGGACACAAUGGUUACUUUUAUGCCAAUAGUGGUCAUGCCAUUCAUUGGUCUUGAGCCAAUAUGUCGGGAGUCAUUUUGUCAAAAGCCAAUAUGUCGGGAGCCCAAUUGCCGGGAGACCAUUUGUCUUGAGCCCUUAUGUCGGGAGCCAAUAUGUCGGGAGCCGCUUUGUCGGGAGCCAAUAUGUCAGGAGCCUAUUUGUCAGGGGUUAAUAUGUCGGGAGUUCAUUUGUCGGGAGCCUAAAUAUCGGGAGCCCAUUUGUCGGGAGCCUAUAUGUCGCAAGUCAAUAUGACGGAAGCCCAUUUGACGGGAGCCAAUAAGUCGGGGCCCUUUUGACGGGGCUAUUUUGACUGGGUCGUUUUGUCGGGGGUCGAUUUGACGGGGUCAAAUUAACGGGGCCGUUUUGACGGGGGCGAUUUGUCCAGGGCCGUUUUGACAGGGCUCGUGCCGCGUCAAAACGGCCAAUGACAAAACGGCCCCGUCAAUACGACCCCGACAAAUCGGCCCCGUCAAAAGGGCCAGCGACAUAUGGACCCCGUCAUAUAGGCUGCCGACAAAUAGGCUCCCGUCAUAUAGGCUUCCGACAAAAGGGCUCCAGUCAAUAAGGCCCCUGUCAUUUAGUUUUUUUGACAAAACGGCCCCCGUCAUUACGACUCCCGAUAAAUAGGCUCCCGCCAUUUAGUUUCUCCACAAAACGACCCCCUUCAUUACGACUCCCGACAAAUAGGUUCCCGUCAUUUUGGCUCACGACAAAUAGGCUCUUGUCAAUUUGACUCCCGACAAAAAGACUUCUGUAGAGACUAAGUCUCCCGGCAAAACGGUCUCUAUGAAUAUGACACCUGCCAGUGGGGCCCCUUCAUCAAUAUUCUUUAGAGUUAGCUUAUCUAACUAUCUUUAGUAAUACAACGUAUGCAUCUCUGGUUCGGCGGGCCUUAUUUUUAUAAUAGUUUAUCUAUUAUAAGAAAUAGUAUGUUUUAAUUUAAGGGUCAUCUAUCUAUGACUUAAAUAAAUGGGUCGAUUAUAUGCUGUUCCAACUCAAGUGUGUGGGGAGAGGGGUCCACGCUGUACAUCCCUAACUUCAGUAUGCUUGUAGGUUAUCAAAACAAAAUGUCGUUAUCUUGUAAACAUCAUUUUAUCAUACAUUUACACUUCUGUGCUCGCCUUUAAGCAACAGAUAUUUUCUGUUGUAAAUUAAACAUUAUCACAAUUCUAGAAUUGGUGGAAUUUAGCUGUUAAGGGCUAGAUUUGUUUGUGAAUUGAUGUUUGCUCAUGAAACACAAUUUCUUGCAGCCAUUAAAAGAGGUUAUAGUGGUAGUGGAGGUCAAACAAAUGGUUACUUUUAUGUCAAUAGUGGUCAUACGAUUCGUUUGUCUGGAGCCAAUAUGUCGGGAGUAAUUUUGUCGGGAGCCAAUAUAUCGGGAGCCCUUUUGUCGGUAGCCAAUAUGUCGUGAGCCCUUAUGACUGGUGCCAAUAAGUCGGGAGCCGCUUUGUCGGGAGCCAAUAUGUCCUGAGCCUAUUUGUAGGGAGCCAAUAUGCCGGGAUAUCUAUAUCUAUAUCUAUAUCUAUAUCUAUAUCUCUAUCUCUAUCUGUAUCUCUAUCUGUAUCUGUAUCUCUAUCUCUAUCUCUAUCCACCCCAUGCGAAUGGCUAUCUCUGUUUCUGUCAAUGAUCAGAUCACUGAGUAACUAAUAGAUAUACCCGCACUUCCUGUGUGGAUCAGCCGACUAACUCAAUGAUAAUUGCUCCGUCUCUAAGCAGUUUGAAUCUAUAAAUAGAAUAACAAAAGGAAGGAAACGAAAUUUUAAACUGAUUUCCGCCAUUAAAAAAAUAACAUGAAACCUACAGUUCACGACACAUCGCAUAGGAAUUUAAAAUAAAUAUUAGGCCUAUAGGUUUAAUACAUAUUGCAUAGAAUAUAGAAAUUUAGAUCUAGUGUUCUGGUUAGUAGUUAUUUCAUGUUUAUUAGAAUAUAGUCUAGAAUCUAAUCAUACGGCUGCAUAAAAAGAAAGUUUGAAGGAAAUAGAAUAGGAAUCUAGAGAAGCGGAGUGUUUUCCGCCGAGGAAAGAGGUUGCAGGGAAUUUAGAGACUAAUCUUUGCCAACAUACUGGAUUUCUGGUGAUGACAAUAGCAGCAGAUAGUAUGCGGCUCAGUUAAUACUAAAAACAAUUGAUUUUACUAAUUAGUGGACUAUGAGUGUGUGUUUGGCCAUCCAGAUUUCAUAACUACAACUGAUGUUCAAUUACAAGGGAUAUUAAUCAGUCUCCGUGGACUAUACACUGUGCCUAGUUUCAUCCUCAGAGACUGAUGUGUAAUCUUAAAGUAAAGACAUCAAAUCAAAGUAACAGCCAUCAAGAGGAAAAACAUUCAAAAUCAUAUUGUGAUACACAAGUCAAGCAAGUCUGACCAGCAUUUUGAUACAGUCCAAGAAAAAGCUGGAUACUUGAUUGGAAGGGUCGCACAAAAAACAUGGGUUAUCACUAGGGAAACAAGCUCGCAAUACAGUUCACUGUUAGGACAGCAAGCCAAAUACUUCUAAACUUAUUUGAAUCAUUUUUGCUGUUUAUUAUAAUUCAUCCAAUUGUCUUAUUAAAUAUAUAAAUUUAUAUAUAUACACAAUUCCUAAUAUAGAAUUUCUAAAAAUGUUUUAUCAUAAUAUUUAAAAAUGAAACAAACAUGUUCCCAGAACACAGCCACAUAAUGUCAACAUGUUCCCAGAACACAGCCACAUAAUGUCAACAUGUUCCCAGAAGACAGCCACAUAAUGUCAACAUGUGCCCAGAAAAAACAAAAUGGCAACAUGUUCCCAGAACACACAAAAUGGCAACAUGUGCCGAGAACAAUGCCCCUUACAGAUGACAUGUUCCCAGAACACAGCCCGUAGUUGGUCUGCCAUAAAAAGUUAACAAUACUUUACUUUUUCCUUAACAAUUUUACAAGCACGUAAUAAAGCCAUAAAUCUUUACUGUGGAUAUAGCCAAUAAAUAGGGUAACCUUCACUAUAUGCAAUUUGUAGUUUUCAAUGCCUGUCCCAUGCAUAUUAUUUAGCCUAUUGUUUUGGGCCUUGCUUCAUUUACUCAAUAAAUUAUAUAGGCAUGAGAAUUUUCAUUUUAAUCUGCAAAAGCUACAUUCUGUACAUUAUUAUUUUCAAACUACAUCAUAUAUUUUUCUCUUCUCUGAUAAAAAAUAUUCCUCAUAUUGUUUGUGUCAAGUAUUUUAUUUUUAUCUAUGCAAUGCUAUAUUCUUAUUUUAUAAUAAUUACUUUUAUACAAAUUCUUUUGAAAACUGUUCUUUAUUGAUUUGUAUCAUUUUCUUUAUUUCUGAAAAAUAAAACUUUGUUUGGGAAUCC